GGGCUUGACAUCCCACGAACCUGCCUGAAAGGGCGGGGUGCCCGCAAGGGAGCGUGGAGACAGGUGGUGCAUGGCUGUCGUCAGCUCGUGUCGUGAGAUGUUGGGUUAAGUCCCGCAACGAGCGCAACCCUCACCCCUAGUUGCCACCGGGUAAUGCCGAGCACUCGAGGGGAACUGCCAGCGUCAAGCUGGAGGAAGGCGGGGAUGACGUCAAGUCAUCAUGCCCCUUACGCCCUGGGCUACACACGUGCUACAAUGGCCAGUACAAAGGGAUGCGAGACCGCAAGGUGGAGCUAAUCCCAAAAAGCUGGUCUCAGUUCAGAUUGCAGUCUGCAACUCGACUGCGUGAAGGAGGAAUCGCUAGUAAUCGCGCAUCAGCACGGCGCGGUGAAUACGUUCCCGGGCCUUGUACACACCGCCCGUCACACCACGAAAGCUGGCUGUACUCGAAGUCGCUGAG
This 460-nucleotide ribosomal RNA is filed under the name uncultured bacterium. RNAcentral's name for it is "bacterial SSU rRNA". It matches the Rfam family "Bacterial small subunit ribosomal RNA", at positions 977 to 1434 of the family's 1533-position model. The record is from RNAcentral.